UACAGAGGUCUCAAGCGUUGUUCGGAUUCAUUGGGCGUAAAGGGUGCGUAGGCGGCGCGGUAAGUCGGGUGUGAAAUCUCGGGGCUUAACUCCGAAACUGCAUUCGAUACUGCCGUGCUUGAGGACUGGAGAGGAGACUGGAAUUUACGGUGUAGCGGUGAAAUGCGUAGAUAUCGUAAGGAAGACCAGUGGCGAAGGCGGGUCUCUGGACAGUUCCUGACGCUGAGGCACGAAGGCUAGGGGAGCAAACGGG
RNAcentral lists this ribosomal RNA (253 nucleotides) under uncultured bacterium. Its description in RNAcentral is "partial 16S ribosomal RNA". It matches the Rfam family "Bacterial small subunit ribosomal RNA", at positions 524 to 776 of the family's 1533-position model. The record is from RNAcentral.